RNAcentral lists this long non-coding RNA (788 nucleotides) under Pan paniscus (pygmy chimpanzee). Its description in RNAcentral is "lncRNA (ENSPPAG00000044391.1)". The record is from RNAcentral. Lineage: Eukaryota; Metazoa; Chordata; Mammalia; Primates; Hominidae.
CUGGGCUUUCCAUGUUACAGCUGAGGAAACUGAAGCUACAGGAUGUCACAACUUGCUUGAGGUCACACAGUGACUAUCUGACCGAAUUGGCACUCAAGUUUGUUUUCCCUCACUGCAGUCUAGUAAACUUUUCAUUCAUUUAUUCACUCAACAAAUAUUUAUUGAGAUCCUACUAUGUGCAACAGGUCCUGCAGAGACAGGCGUGGGCAGGGCCAGCACCACCUCGACUUCACGAAGCCUCCAGUACCAGGCGGAAGACACACAAGUGACUAAUUGAUUAUAAUUAAGUGUGGCGGGUGUUGCAGCAGGAGAAGUACAUUUAUUAACCAUCGUGCUAGAUGUUCUGCCAGAGGCUGGAAAUAAUUUUAAAUGAAUGCAUAUUGUGACCAGUCCAGCCUCCAGGGACCUGUUGCUGCUCUCACUGGAUGUCUGCCUUCAGCGUGUCCAGCCGCUGGCCAUGGCAGGGAUGUCUGCAUGGGGCAGAUGGUGGCAGGCAGGCUCCUCUGAGUCUUCCCAGGCAGCUCAGGGGCAGCGAGGACCUCAUACAAACGCACAGUGGCCAGACACAGCCCAGAGAGAAAGUGCCAUUCAGAAAGCUCGCCAGCGAGAAGAGAGCUCCACGCUCAGCCUCAGAAGAAAGACGUUCAACGACUUACUGGGGAGAGAAAGAAAAGGAACGGGAGCUGAGAGGUAAGAUCAAACUGGAGGGUGUGCGGGCCCUCUGGGAUGCCUUGCAUGGAAGAGAGGUAGCCCCGACUUUGUGUCCUGAAGGGUGGCGCUCUAAGUAG